RNAcentral lists this ribosomal RNA (445 nucleotides) under uncultured bacterium. RNAcentral's name for it is "bacterial SSU rRNA". It matches the Rfam family "Bacterial small subunit ribosomal RNA", at positions 330 to 792 of the family's 1533-position model. The record is from RNAcentral.
GCCAGACUCCUACGGGAGGCAGCAGUGGGGAAUAUUGCACAAUGGGGGAAACCCUGAUGCAGCGACGCCGCGUGAGUGAAGAAGUAAUUCGUUAUGUAAAGCUCUAUCAGCAGGGAAGAAAAUGACGGUACCUGGGUAAGAAGCCCCGGCUAACUACGUGCCAGCAGCCGCGGUAAUACGUAGGGGGCAAGCGUUAUCCGGAUUUACUGGGUGUAAAGGGCGUGUAGGCGGGAAAGCAAGUCAGAUGUGAAAACCAUGGGCGCAACCUGUGGCCUGCAUUUGAAACUGUUUUUCUUGAGUACUGGAGAGGCAGGCGGAAUUCCUAGUGUAGCGGUGAAAUGCGUAGAUAUUAGGAGGAACACCAGUGGCGAAGGCGGUCUGCUGGACAGCAACUGACGCUGAGGCGCGAAAGCGUGGGGAGCAGGCAGGAUUAGAUACCCGUGUG